This 76-nucleotide transfer RNA is filed under the name Escherichia coli. RNAcentral's name for it is "tRNA-Arg". It matches the Rfam family "tRNA". From Rfam's summary of the family: Transfer RNA (tRNA) molecules are approximately 80 nucleotides in length. Their secondary structure includes four short double-helical elements and three loops (D, anti-codon, and T loops). Further hydrogen bonds mediate the characteristic L-shaped molecular structure. tRNAs have two regions of fundamental functional importance: the anti-codon, which is responsible for specific mRNA codon recognition, and the 3' end, to which the tRNAs corresponding amino acid is attached (by aminoacyl-tRNA synthetases). tRNAs cope with the degeneracy of the genetic code in two manners: having more than one tRNA (with a specific anti-codon) for a particular amino acid; and 'wobble' base-pairing, i.e. permitting non-standard base-pairing at the 3rd anti-codon position. Lineage: Bacteria; Pseudomonadati; Pseudomonadota; Gammaproteobacteria; Enterobacterales; Enterobacteriaceae. The record is from RNAcentral.
GCCGGUUUAGCUCAGUUGGUAGAGCGCCUGCCUUCUAAGCAGGAUGUCAGCGGUUCGAGUCCGUUAACCGGCACCA